Molecule: ribosomal RNA, 468 nt
Filed under: uncultured bacterium
Lineage: Bacteria
Description: partial 16S ribosomal RNA
Rfam family: Bacterial small subunit ribosomal RNA
Source: RNAcentral
GACGAACGCUGGCGGCGUGCUUAACACAUGCAAGUCGAACGGAAAGGCCCUGCUUUUGUGGGGUGCUCGAGUGGCGAACGGGUGAGUAACACGUGAGUAACCUGCCCUUGACUUUGGUAUAACUUCAGGAAACUGGGGCUAAUACCGGAUAGGAGCUCCUGCUGCAUGGUGGGGGUUGGAAAGUUUCGGCGGUUGGGGAUGGACUCGCGGCUUAUCAGCUUGUUGGUGGGGUAGUGGCUUACCAAGGCUUUGGCGGGUAGCCGGCCUGAGAGGGUGACCGGCCACAUUGGGACUGAGAUACGGCCCAGACUCCUACGGGGGGCAGCAGUGGGGAAUAUUGCACAAUGGGCGGAAGCCUGAUGCAGCAACGCCGCGUGCGGGAUGACGGCCUUCGGGGUGUAAACCGCUUUCGCCUGUGACGAAGCGUGAGUGACGGUAAUGGGUAAAGAAGCACCGGCUAACUACGUG